ACGGAAGGCAGCAGUGGGGAAUAUUGGGCAAUGGGCGCAAGCCUGACCCAGCGACGCCGCGUGGGGGAAGAAGGUCUUCGGAUUGUAAACCUCUUUCAGCAGGGAAGAAGCAAGUGACGGUACCUGCAGAAGAAGUCACGGCUAACUACGUGCCAGCAGCCGCGGUAAUACGUAGGUGGCGAGCGUUAUCCGGAAUUACUGGGUGUAAAGGGUGUGCAGGCGGAGAAGCAAGUCAGGCGUGAAAUUUUUGGGCUCAACCCGGAAACCGCGCUUGAAACUGUUUCCCUUGAGAGUGGGAGAGGUAAACGGAAUUCCUGGUGGAGUAGUGAAAUGCGUAGAUAUCAGGAGGAACACCGGUGGCGAAGGCGGUUUACUGGACCACAACUGACGCUGAGACACGAAAGCGUGGGGAGCAAACAGGAUUAGAUACCCUGGUA
Molecule: ribosomal RNA, 437 nt
Filed under: uncultured Oscillospiraceae bacterium
Lineage: Bacteria; Bacillati; Bacillota; Clostridia; Eubacteriales; Oscillospiraceae
Description: partial 16S ribosomal RNA
Rfam family: Bacterial small subunit ribosomal RNA
Source: RNAcentral